UACGGGGGGGGCAAGCGUUGUUCGGAAUUACUGGGCGUAAAGGGCUCGUAGGCGGCCAACUAAGUCGGACGUGAAAUCCCCAGGCUCAACCUGGGAACUGCGUCCGAUACUGGAUGGCUUGAAUCCGGGAGAGGGAUGCAGAAUUCCAGGUGUAGCGGUGAAAUGCGUAGAUAUCUGGAGGAAUACCGGUGGCGAAGGCGGCAUCCUGGACCGGCAUUGACGCUGAGGAACGAAAGCUAGGGGAGCAAACGGG
RNAcentral lists this ribosomal RNA (253 nucleotides) under uncultured bacterium. RNAcentral describes it as "partial 16S ribosomal RNA". It matches the Rfam family "Bacterial small subunit ribosomal RNA", at positions 524 to 776 of the family's 1533-position model. The record is from RNAcentral.